UACGUAAGGGGCUAGCGUUGCUCGGAAUUACUGGGCGUAAAGGGCGUGUAGGCGGGCACACAAGUCGAUUGUAAAAGACCGCAGCUUAACUGCGGGCAUGCGAUCGAAACUGUGUGUCUUGAGUCUGGUGGAGGGUAAUGGAAUUCCCGGUGUAGCGGUGAAAUGCGUAGAUAUCGGGAAGAACACCGAAGGCUAAAGCAGUUAUCUAUGCCAAGACUGACGCUGAGGCGCGAAAGCAUGGGGAUCAAACAGG
RNAcentral lists this ribosomal RNA (253 nucleotides) under uncultured bacterium. RNAcentral's name for it is "partial 16S ribosomal RNA". It matches the Rfam family "Bacterial small subunit ribosomal RNA", at positions 524 to 776 of the family's 1533-position model. The record is from RNAcentral.